AUGACGACUCUCGGCAACGGAUAUCUUGGCUCUUGCAUCGAUGAAGAACGCAGCGAAAUGCGAUAAGUGGUGUGAAUUGCAGAAUCCCGCGAACCAUCGAGUCUUUGAACGCAAGUUGCGCCCGAGGCCAUCAGGCUAAGGGCACGCCUGCCUGGGCGUCGUGU
Molecule: ribosomal RNA, 164 nt
Filed under: Cypripedium fasciculatum
Lineage: Eukaryota; Viridiplantae; Streptophyta; Magnoliopsida; Asparagales; Orchidaceae
Description: 5.8S ribosomal RNA
Rfam family: 5.8S ribosomal RNA
About the family: 5.8S ribosomal RNA (5.8S rRNA) is a component of the large subunit of the eukaryotic ribosome. It is transcribed by RNA polymerase I as part of the 45S precursor that also contains 18S and 28S rRNA.
Source: RNAcentral